RNAcentral lists this ribosomal RNA (324 nucleotides) under uncultured Euglypha. RNAcentral's name for it is "SSU rRNA". The stretch from base 108 to 324 matches the Rfam family "Eukaryotic small subunit ribosomal RNA", at positions 737 to 955 of the family's 1831-position model. Lineage: Eukaryota; Cercozoa; Imbricatea; Euglyphida; Euglyphidae. The record is from RNAcentral.
GAUUUCUGACGAACCGGAGUGGCCCGUUUCCUUUCUGGGAAUGAGUGCCGCUUUGAGUUUGUCAUCCUUCCAGAGAGCUGCGUCUACCGUUCAUUCGGCCGGACGUACGCGAUCUGGAUCUAUUACUUUGAAAAAAUUAGAGUGUUUAAAGCAGGCUUAGGCUAUGAAUACAUUAGCAUGGAAUAAUAAUUUAGGACUUUGGUUCUAUUUUGUUGGUUUCUAGGACCGAAGUAAUGAUUGAUAGGGAUAGUUGGGGGUGCUAGUAUUCCGCGGCCAGAGGUGAAAUUCUUGGAUUCGGUCAAGACUAACUUAUGCGAAAGCAUU